UACGUAGGCAGCAAGCGUUGUUCGGAGUUACUGGGCGUAAAGGGUGUGUAGGCGGUCUCGUAAGUCUGGUGUGAAAUCUCCCGGCUCAACUGGGAGGGUGCGCCGGAAACUGCGAGGCUAGAGUGUGGGAUGGGAGAGUGGAAUUCCUGGUGUAGCGGUGAAAUGCGUAGACAUCAGGAGGAACACCUGCGGUGUAGACGGCUCUCUGGACCACUACUGACGCUGAAACACGAAAGCGUGGGUAGCAAACAGG
Molecule: ribosomal RNA, 253 nt
Filed under: uncultured bacterium
Lineage: Bacteria
Description: partial 16S ribosomal RNA
Rfam family: Bacterial small subunit ribosomal RNA
Source: RNAcentral